RNAcentral lists this unclassified non-coding RNA (341 nucleotides) under soil metagenome. Its description in RNAcentral is "partial contains 5.8S ribosomal RNA, internal transcribed spacer 2, and large subunit ribosomal RNA". The stretch from base 1 to 120 matches the Rfam family "5.8S ribosomal RNA", at positions 35 to 154 of the family's 154-position model. The record is from RNAcentral.
GAUGAAGAACGUAGCGAAAUGCGAUAAGUAGUGUGAAUUGCAGAAUUCAGUGAAUCAUCGAAUCUUUGAACGCACAUUGCGCCCUUUGGUAUUCCAAAGGGCAUGCCUGUUCGAGCGUCAUUUGUACCCUCAAGCUUUGCUUGGUGUUGGGCGUCUUGUCUCUAGCUUUGCUGGAGACUCGCCUUAAAGUAAUUGGCAGCCGGCCUACUGGUUUCGGAGCGCAGCACAAGUCGCACUCUCUAUCAGCAAAGGUCUAGCAUCCAUUAAGCCUUUUUUUCAACUUUUGACCUCGGAUCAGGUAGGACUACCCGCUGAACUUAAGCAUAUCAAUAAGCGGAGGA